Molecule: ribosomal RNA, 478 nt
Filed under: uncultured bacterium
Lineage: Bacteria
Description: partial 16S ribosomal RNA
Rfam family: Bacterial small subunit ribosomal RNA
Source: RNAcentral
GACGAACGCUGGCGGCGUGCUUAACACAUGCAAGUCGAACGGUGAGGCCCUUCGGGGUACACGAGUGGCGGACGGGUGAGUAACACGUGGGUGAUCUGCCCUGCACUUCGGGAUAAGCCUGGGAAACUGGGUCUAAUACCGGAUAGGACCACUGCCUGCAUGGGUGGUGGUGGAAAGCUUUUGCGGCGUGGGAUGGGCCCGCGGCCUAUCAGCUUGUUGGUGGGGUGAUGGCCUACCAAGGCGACGACGGGUAGCCGGCCUGAGAGGGUGACCGGCCACACUGGGACUGAGAUACGGCCCAGACUCCUACGGGAGGCAGCAGUGGGGAAUAUUGCACAAUGGGCGCAAGCCUGAUGCAGCGACGCCGCGUGAGGGAUGACGGCCUUCGGGUUGUAAACCUCUUUCAGCACCGACGAAGCGCAAGUGACGGUAGGUGCAGAAGAAGGACCGGCCAACUACGUGCCAGCCGCCGCGGUAA